RNAcentral lists this ribosomal RNA (432 nucleotides) under uncultured bacterium. RNAcentral's name for it is "partial 16S ribosomal RNA". It matches the Rfam family "Bacterial small subunit ribosomal RNA", at positions 29 to 506 of the family's 1533-position model. The record is from RNAcentral.
AACGAACGCUGGCGGCAGGCCUAACACAUGCAAGUCGAGCGAGGACUUCGGUCCUAGCGGCGGACGGGUGAGUAACGCGUGGGAACGUGCCCUUUGCUUCGGAAUAGCCCUGGGAAACUGGGAGUAAUACCGGAUGAGCCCUUUGGGGGAAAGAUUUAUCGGCGAAGGAUCGGCCCGCGUUGGAUUAGGUAGUUGGUGGGGUAAUGGCCUACCAAGCCGACGAUCCAUAGCUGGUUUGAGAGGAUGAUCAGCCACACUGGGACUGAGACACGGCCCAGACUCCUACGGGAGGCAGCAGUGGGGAAUCUUAGACAAUGGGGGAAACCCUGAUCUAGCCAUGCCGCGUGAGCGAUGAAGGCCUUAGGGUUGUAAAGCUCUUUCAGCGGGGAAGAUAAGGACGGUACCAGCAGAAGAAGCCCCGGCUAACUCCGU